GCUACUGAAUCAUAGAAUUUCUUUAAAUUCGUGAUGUCGUAAGGGAAAAUCAUGAUAUUACCUUACUAUGAGUGUCGUCCAAAUCUGGUGCCAGAAGACUCGGUAAGACCAGAGACGCAAACGUUAAUCAUCAUAAACAGGCGUAAAGGGUUUGUAGGCAGCUCUUACCAGACUAUAAUUACAAAAUAAAGUAGUUUAAUUAAGAGCUAGAAUCAAAAAGAGGUUAUAGUGUAUAACGCCUAGAGGAGGGCUGAUAUCCAUAGAUCCUAGGCAGAAUACUCAGGGCGAAGGCCACUCUCCAUUAAUGAUUGACGCUGAGAAACGAAGGUUAGGUUAGGAAAUAGGAUUAGAUACCCCGGUACUCCUUUCUGUAAACGAUGAAUGGUAGUCAUUAGAAAUACUAGAGACGAAGUUAACACAAUAACCAUUCCGCCUUGUGAGUACUACUGCAAAGUAGAAAACAAAAAAAUUAGUCGGUCUCGAAGCAAACGGAGUGAAGCAUGUUAUUUAAU
This 512-nucleotide ribosomal RNA is filed under the name Neofomitella guangxiensis. RNAcentral's name for it is "SSU rRNA". It matches the Rfam family "Bacterial small subunit ribosomal RNA", at positions 401 to 950 of the family's 1533-position model. The record is from RNAcentral. Lineage: Eukaryota; Fungi; Basidiomycota; Agaricomycetes; Polyporales; Polyporaceae.